UUGAACGCUGGCGGCAGGCCUAACCCAUGCACGUCGAACGGUAACAGGAAGAAGCUUGCUUCUUUGCUGACGAGUGGCGGACGGGUGAGUAAUGUCUGGGAAACUGCCUGAUGGAGGGGGAUAACUACUGGAAACGGUAGCUAAUACCGCAUAACGUCGCAAGACCAAAAAGGGGGACCUUCGGGCCUCUUGCCAUCGGAUGUGCCCAGAUGGGAUUAGCUAGUAGGUGGGGUAACGGCUCACCUAGGCGACGAUCCCUAGCUGGUCUGAGAGGAUGACCAGCCACACUGGAACUGAGACACGGUCCAGACUCCUACGGGAGGCAGCAGUGGGGAAUAUUGCACAAUGGGCGCAAGCCUGAUGCAGCCAUGCCGCGUGUAUGAAGAAGGCCUUCGGGUUGUAAAGUACUUUCAGCGGGGAGGAAGGGAGUAAAGUUAAUACCUUUGCUCAUUGACGUUACCCGCAGAAGAAGCACCGGCUAACUCCGUG
This 489-nucleotide ribosomal RNA is filed under the name uncultured bacterium. Its description in RNAcentral is "partial 16S ribosomal RNA". It matches the Rfam family "Bacterial small subunit ribosomal RNA", at positions 30 to 507 of the family's 1533-position model. The record is from RNAcentral.